GAAACCAACAGGGAUUCCCCUAGUAACGGCGAGUGAAGCGGCAACAGCUCAAAUUUGAAAUCUGGCCCUUUCGGGUCCGAGUUGUAAUUUGUAGAGGGUGCUUUGGCAUUGGCUGUGGUCUAAGUUCCUUGGAACAGGACGUCGCAGAGGGUGAGAAUCCCGUACGUCGCUGCCAGCCCUUGCCGUGUAAAGCCCUUCGACGAGUCGAGUUGUUUGGGAAUGCAGCUCUAAUUGGGAGGUAAAUUUCUUCUAAAGCUAAAUAUCUGCCAGAGACCGAUAGCGCACAAGUAGAGUGAUCGAAAGAUGAAAAGCACUUUGGAAAGAGAGUCAAAAAGCACGUGAAAUUGUUGAAAGGGAAGCGCUUGCAGUUAGACGUGCCUGUAGAUGCUCAGCCGGGCUUUGGCCCGGUGCACUCUUCUAUUGGCAGGCCAGCAUCAGUUUGGGCGGUCGGAUAAAGGCCUAUUAAACGUGACUUCCUUCGGGGAGAGCUUAUAGGGUAGGCGUAAUGCGAUCAGCCUGGACUGAGGUCCGCGCAUCUGCUAGGAUGCUGGCGUAAUAGUUGUAAGCGGCCCGUCUUGAAACACGGACCCAAGGAGUCUAACAUCUAUGCGAGUGUUUGGGUGUCAAGCCCGGAUGCGUAAUGAAAGUGAAUGGAGGUGGGAUCCUUCGGGGUGCACCAUCGACCGAUCCUGAUGUUUUCGGAUGGAUUUGAGUAAGAGCAUAGCUGUUGGGACCCGAAAGAUGGUGAACUAUGCCUGAAUAGGGUGAAGCCAGAGGAAACUCUGGUGGAGGCUCGCAGCGGUUCUGACGUGCAAAUCGAUCGUCAAAUUUGGGCAUAGGGGCGAAAGACUAAUCGAACUAUCUAGUAGCU
This 871-nucleotide ribosomal RNA is filed under the name dothideomycete sp. HKUCC 166. RNAcentral's name for it is "LSU rRNA". It matches the Rfam family "Eukaryotic large subunit ribosomal RNA", at positions 61 to 952 of the family's 3401-position model. The record is from RNAcentral. Lineage: Eukaryota; Fungi; Ascomycota; Dothideomycetes.